Cinara cedri is the source of this 194-nucleotide non-coding RNA. The record is from the annotation of a GenBank genome assembly. NCBI's taxonomy places the organism in Eukaryota, Metazoa, Arthropoda, Insecta, Hemiptera, Aphididae.
UUCCUUUUUCUGUACACUUCCUGAAACAUACACAAAUAAAAUCUGUUCUUAUCAGCUUAACAUCUGAUACACUUCCACGUGAAGUGCCAUAUGUUAAACUAAUUUUUGAAAACAGGCGGAGAAUUUGGAGCUUGCUCCUACUCCGCCACGGGUUGAUCCGGUAUUGCAGUACCACCGGAAACAGCCCAAUAUCA